This 483-nucleotide ribosomal RNA is filed under the name uncultured bacterium. RNAcentral's name for it is "bacterial SSU rRNA". It matches the Rfam family "Bacterial small subunit ribosomal RNA", at positions 28 to 509 of the family's 1533-position model. The record is from RNAcentral.
GACGAACGCUGGCGGCGUGCCUAACACAUGCAAGUCAACUUGACGGAAGGAGCAAUCUGACCGUAGAGUGGCGCAAGGGUGCGUAACGCGUAAGUAACUUGCCCCAAGGUAAGGAAUAACGUCGAGAAAUCGGCGCUAAUACCUCAUAAUGCAGCGGAUCCGCAUGGAUAUGUUGUUAAAAGGUUUACCGCCUUGGGAUAGGCUUGCGUCUGAUUAGCUAGUUGGUGUGGUAACGGCACACCAAGGCUACGAUCAGUAACUGGUCUGAGAGGAUGAUCAGUCACACUGGAACUGAGACACGGUCCAGACUCCUACGGGAGGCAGCAGUGAGGAAUAUUGGGCAAUGCUCGAAAGAGUGACCCAGCAACGCCGCGUGGAGGAUGAAGGUAUUCUAUAUCGUAAACUCCUGUGAGAGCAGACGAAAGACAGAUUAUUAAUCUGGAUGACUAGUAUGCUCAGAGGAAGCCCGGCUAACUACGUGCA